UGAGGAAUAUUGGUCAAUGGGCGAGAGCCUGAACCAGCCAAGUAGCGUGCAGGACGACGGCCCUAUGGGUUGUAAACUGCUUUUAUGUGGGGAUAAAGUGCGUGACGUGUCAUGCAUUGCAGGUACCACAUGAAUAAGGACCGGCCAAUUCCGUGCCAGCAGCCGCGGUAAUACGGAAGGUCCGGGCGUUAUCCGGAUUUAUGGGGUUUAAAGGGAGCGUAGGCUGUCUAUUAAGCGUGUUGUGAAAUUUACCGGCCCAACCGGUGGCUUGCAGCGCGAACUGGUCGACUUGAGUAUGCAGGAAGUAGGCGGAAUUCAUGGUGUGGCGGUGAAAUGCUUAGAUAUCAUGACGAACUCCGAUUGCGCAGGCAGCUUACUGUAGCAUAACUGACGCUGAUGCUCGAAAGUGCGGGUAUCAAACAGG
Molecule: ribosomal RNA, 424 nt
Filed under: Verrucomicrobiota bacterium
Lineage: Bacteria; Pseudomonadati; Verrucomicrobiota
Description: Verrucomicrobia bacterium partial 16S ribosomal RNA
Rfam family: Bacterial small subunit ribosomal RNA
Source: RNAcentral